UACUGCCAUGCUACCAACAUCUGCCUCUUAUGUCAUGGAUCAACAGAAUUAAAUAGAAGGCAUUACUUUCAGAGCAAUCUUCACUGACAGCGUCUUCAUGGGCUGAAUGAUGAUACGGAAUCUGUUGUGGUAAGCUGAUCUCACUACUUCUUCAUAUCUAAUUCAAACUCAUCAGAUAAGAACCGGAAUCCAUUUCCAUCCAUGGCCUGAAGAACCAAGAAAAUUAUAUUGGACUCCUGAGUAAUGAAAGGGAAAGAAGUAUUCACAAAAGAUAAGUUUAGUCUUCAAAGAACAGACUUGCUAGACUACCUUCACUGUUUAUAGAAGAAAAACCGUACUAAGGAAAAAAAAAUCAAGAACACCUAGAACAUGGCUUUUGCUCUGAAUCAUCUUCUAAAGAAGCCUCUCUCUCCUGUGAAUACUGUAUGUUUCCUUGCUUCCUUAUGGCAAUGUAAACUUUCAUAUAACCUGUGUACUGUCGUUAAGUACUUUGAGGAAGGACGAUGAGCUCACAUUCAUAUAUUCUCUCUCCUGUGCAGUGGAUGGUUGUGGAAAGCAGCUCUUUGGUAAUGGCUGUUCACAACACAUGGUGUUAAAAGUAUUUCUUUACUUUCAUACAGUCUGUGUAUCUUUUCCUCAUUAUACAGGCAUAUUGGAGACUAUCAGGUGAACCCUCAGUCUAAAGCCCAGAGUCUAGGAUUCUUUUCCAAACAAUCUGUAUGUGAUUUUCCACAGCUUUAUUAACAGCUAUCAGUUGGUGCAGGGGACAGGAAAGCAUUUUCACUAAUGACUGAGGAACUCACUAAUCUGCAGCCUUGUACUCUGCACCUGUAUUAUAAUUCUCCUCACUCCUUGCUAAGGCCUGCUGUCAGGCAAAGAGUUGAAGUGCAGAAAGUGGAUCCAGGACCCUCUCUUUACACAGGCAGAAUGACAUUUUCUACAUUGGAAUAUAAAAGGCCAUUCAAGAAGAACAUUGUGUUGAAGGCUAUACUAUACAAACUCUUUUUCAUAACUUUGAUGUUCCUUUCAUAUACUACGUAUGUUUAGUAUUGAAAUAUGCAACUCUGUAUGUUGGAUACAGGAGAGGCUCACAGAAGAUAUCAAUCUUCAGCUCAUGGAAGGACCAAUUUCAGCUCGGGAUGCUAAUGGGCUUAUCCAGUUGAGAUCUGAAAAGAAAUCAAAGGAUCCUGACAUAAAUUACACUUGAGAGUAUGGGAAUGGCUAAAAAUAAGUUACAGAUGGAAUAUUCAUUUUCUGCUGAGUUUUACACAAGUUAGGGUUGUUAUACUGCAUCCUCUCUUCUCCACUCUUCCCAUCCCUUUUAGUACCUCAGAAGUUAAUUGUUUUAAACAAACUACAACUCAUUUAUUCUCAAUUGCAUUGUUUGAAGUUGUAUUCUGGAGAAAGGCUCAGAACACCACCAGCAGCCAGCAGAGGGGGCCCACGUUUUUAACUUGGUCUGGUCUCACUGAAAUCCCUAAAAUAAAGAACAUACAGCUUCUGCACAAAAACGUGAGUGUUGGUUAGAGGUGGUAGCCAAGUUACUUCUAAUUUGAGCAGAAAUCUCUCUUGUGUGUGUGUGCUUUUGGCAAAACAACAAAUAAAAUUCCCACCUUCCUGUAAUCAGUAGUAAGAAAUUAUUUGCUAUGAAUAUACAAUUGUGUGGGAAUCUAUUCAAAUUCUUCACAGAUCAGCUUAUAGAUACGGUUGGAAUCUUUUAAUUAACCCUUGGCCUCAUAUGCCUUUUUGUCUGUCACUACUUUUUCAAAAGUCAAAAUAAUAUCUUCAUCUUCACUUCACUUACCACUUCAGGCUCCAGCCUUGCAAACAUACAGUGAAUUGGUCCACACAGGCAGUCUCAAAGAAGUUUUGUAGCAUACAGAAAGUGUAUUUAUAAUAAUUACGAGUAACUUUUCCAGAAAGUCGUUUGUCACUUCAGUGUCUUUUUGUAAUAUGUUUUUCUCAAUAGCUCUAUCAUAAGUCAUGUUAAUUACUCUAUGUGUGAAAGUAUUAAUAAAAGGUACUAUAUUUUCCAUGUUA
Long non-coding RNA from Gallus gallus (chicken), 2040 nucleotides. The record is from Ensembl. Lineage: Eukaryota; Metazoa; Chordata; Aves; Galliformes; Phasianidae.